This 550-nucleotide ribosomal RNA is filed under the name uncultured bacterium. Its description in RNAcentral is "bacterial SSU rRNA". It matches the Rfam family "Bacterial small subunit ribosomal RNA", at positions 777 to 1325 of the family's 1533-position model. The record is from RNAcentral.
AAUAGAUACCCCGGUAGUCCACGCCGUAAACGAUGAGUGCUAAGUGUUAGGGGGUUUCCGCCCCUUAGUGCUGCAGCUAACGCAUUAAGCACUCCGCCUGGGGAGUACGGUCGCAAGACUGAAACUCAAAGGAAUUGACGGGGGCCCGCACAAGCGGUGGAGCAUGUGGUUUAAUUCGAAGCAACGCGAAGAACCUUACCAGGUCUUGACAUCCCAUUGACCGCUAUGGAGACAUAGCUUUCCCUUCGGGGACAGUGGUGACAGGUGGUGCAUGGUUGUCGUCAGCUCGUGUCGUGAGAUGUUGGGUUAAGUCCCGCAACGAGCGCAACCCUUGUUCUUAGUUGCCAUCAUUUAGUUGGGCACUCUAAGGAGACUGCCGGUGACAAACCGGAGGAAGGUGGGGAUGACGUCAAAUCAUCAUGCCCCUUAUGACCUGGGCUACACACGUGCUACAAUGGACGGUACAAACGGUUGCCAACCCGCGAGGGGGAGCUAAUCCGAUAAAACCGUUCUCAGUUCGGAUUGUAGGCUGCAACUCGCUUACAUAAAC